UUCCGGUUGAUCCUGCCGGACCUGACUGCUAUCGGAUUGAUACUAAGCCAUGCGAGUCAUUGUAGCAAUACAAGGCAGACGGCUCAGUAACGCGUAGUCAACCUACCCUAUGGACGGGGAUAACCUCGGGAAACUGAGAAUAAUGCCCGAUAGAACAUUAUGCCUGGAAUGGUUUAUGUUCCAAAUGAUUUAUCGCCGUAGGAUGGGACUGCGGCCUAUCAGUUUGUUGGUGAGGUAAUGGCCCACCAAGACUAUUACAGGUACGGGCUCUGAGAGGAGUGGCCCGGAGAUGGGUACUGAGACACGGACCCAGGCCCUAUGGGGCGCAGCAGGCGAGAAAACUUUGCAAUGUGCGAAAGCACGACAAGGUUAAUCCGAGUGGUUUCUGCUAAAGGAACCUUUUGACAGUCCUAAAAACACUGUUGAAUAAGGGGUGGGCAAGUUCUGGUGUCAGCCGCCGCGGUAAAACCAGCACCUCAAGUGGUCAGGAUGAUUAUUGGGCCUAAAGCAUCCGUAGCCGGCUCUGUAAGUUUUCGGUUAAAUCUGUACGCUUAACGUACAGGCUGCUGGAAAUACUGCAGGGCUAGGGAGUGGGAGAGGUAGACGGUACUCGGGAGGAAGUGGUAAAAUGCUUUGAUCUCUCGAUGACCACCUGUGGCGAAGGCGGUCUACCAGAACACGUCCGACGGUGAGGGAUGAAAGCUGGGGGAGCAAACCGGAUUAGAUACCCGGGUAGUCCCAGCUGUAAACUAUGCAAACUCAGUGAUGCACUGGCUUGUGGCCAGUGCAGUGUUGCAGGGAAGCCGUUAAGUUUGCCGCCUGGGAAGUACGUACGCAAGUAUGAAACUUAAAGGAAUUGGCGGGGGAGCACCACAAGGGGUGAAGCCUGCGGUUCAAUUGGAGUCAACGCCGGA
RNAcentral lists this ribosomal RNA (914 nucleotides) under uncultured archaeon. Its description in RNAcentral is "bacterial SSU rRNA". It matches the Rfam family "Archaeal small subunit ribosomal RNA", at positions 1 to 922 of the family's 1478-position model. The record is from RNAcentral.